This 431-nucleotide ribosomal RNA is filed under the name uncultured bacterium. RNAcentral's name for it is "partial 16S ribosomal RNA". It matches the Rfam family "Bacterial small subunit ribosomal RNA", at positions 29 to 505 of the family's 1533-position model. The record is from RNAcentral.
AACGAACGCUGGCGGCAUGCCUAACACAUGCAAGUCGAACGAGACCUUCGGGUCUAGUGGCGCACGGGUGCGUAACGCGUGGGAACCUGCCCUUAGGUUCGGAAUAACUCCCCGAAAGGGGUGCUAAUACCGGAUAAUGUCUUCGGACCAAAGAUUUAUCGCCUUUGGAUGGGCCCGCGUUGGAUUAGCUAGUUGGUAGGGUAAAAGCCUACCAAGGCGACGAUCCAUAGCUGGUCUGAGAGGAGGAUCAGCCACACUGGGACUGAGACACGGCCCAGACUCCUACGGUAGGCAGCAGUGGGGAAUAUUGGACAAUGGGCGAAAGCCUGAUCCAGCAAUGCCGCGUGAGGGAUGAAGGCCUUAGGGUUGUAAAGCUCUUUUACACGGGAUGAUAAUGAGAGUACCGUGAGAAUAAGCUCCGGCUAACUCCG